UAUUUAUUUAUUUUUUAAAUUUAUGUGUUAGAUAUUCGAGGACAUAAAGACAUGUACACUUGUUUUACACUCACAUUAAAUAUUAUUUGAGAAUGCAUGUUUACUUGCCUAAAAGAUAAAUAGAAGUAUGAGGUGUUAUUCACUUGUGUGUCAAAAAGCUUUCUGUAGCAAUGAGUUCCAUAAUUGUAUAAUCCAUCAUUACUCCACAAGAAAGUCUAAUCAAACAAAUCUCUGAAUACAAUAAAAAAUAAAAACAAAAAAGGGUAAAAAAACACUUUCCACGUUCAAGUUUUUGUGAUUUUCCAUGUCCUUUGUUGAACUGUCAAGCUCAUAUCUAUGUGCCAGAUUGUAUAGUGUUUAUCUCUCAUGUUUUCUUUUCCUAGUGCCUUGAGACUUGUUCUGGAAUGCAUUAGCAACUUCAAAACCAUAUUCCCCUGAGAAGUGAAGGGGGCAGAAUUAAGUUCAGAAUUGGACCUUAGCUACCAAGGAUGUUUGUAUUAACAUGGACAUGUGCCUGUUAUUGUGCCUUAAUGGAAAUGGUUAUGAACUAAAUUUGCUACUCUAGCUUUUAUUGUUUUAAUGAUGGCUCUUUAUCCUCAUCCCCCACUUCCUCCUUGACAUCAUCGUCAUGUUAUUGGGAUGCUGCUUCUUAUUAUCAUAAUUUUUAAUGUGUGCCUUGGUCAGGUUAGGCCCCAAAUGCACCUAGCCUUACCAGGGACAGAUCCAUGUAUGGGCCAAGGGGGGCAAUGGGCUCCCUGAGAUUUAAAAUUUUUUUAGUGGUGUAAUGAUAUUUACUAAAAAAUCAAUAUUUUCUAUUACAGCCAGUCAAAUUUUGAUGGGGCAUUGGACCUAGUAUUUUAAAAGUUUUUAUGAAUUUAUUAGUAAUUUUAUAAAAAAACCCCAAAUUCUUUACUGUCCUAUUGAAAAAAAGAUACCAACAGUGAAACACAAACCCUCUUUCCAAAAAGAAACUCCAGGCCAUCAUUGAAUCGUGGCUUCUUAUUCUCCAUCAAUUCUUUUUACUGGUUUCUUCUUCCAACAAAUUCAUAAUUUUCAACUUAUGUUCUUUGAAAUUUAAAUUAUAGGAUAAGAUCAUCGAAGGGAAGUCUAGCACAGUUAUUGUAUCCUUUUUUUCAUCAAUUUGAUAAUUUCAUUGCUAUUAUUGAAAUAUCUAUCGUACUGGAUUUUCUUCAAACUUAGAUUAGAAAAAAAA
Molecule: unclassified non-coding RNA, 1213 nt
Filed under: Hevea brasiliensis (rubber tree)
Lineage: Eukaryota; Viridiplantae; Streptophyta; Magnoliopsida; Malpighiales; Euphorbiaceae
Source: RNAcentral